RNAcentral lists this ribosomal RNA (468 nucleotides) under uncultured bacterium. RNAcentral's name for it is "partial 16S ribosomal RNA". It matches the Rfam family "Bacterial small subunit ribosomal RNA", at positions 28 to 507 of the family's 1533-position model. The record is from RNAcentral.
GACGAACGCUGGCGGCGUGCUUAACACAUGCAAGUCGAACGGAAAGGCCCUGCUUUUGUGGGGUGCUCGAGUGGCGAACGGGUGAGUAACACGUGAGUAACCUGCCCUUGACUUUGGGAUAACUUCAGGAAACUGGGGCUAAUACCGGAUAGGAGCUCCUGCUGCAUGGUGGGGGUUGGAAAGUUUCGGCGGUUGGGGAUGGACUCGCGGCUUAUCAGCUUGUUGGUGGGGUAGUGGCUUACCAAGGCUUUGACGGGUAGCCGGCCUGAGAGGGUGACCGGCCACAUUGGGACUGAGAUACGGCCCAGAAUCCUACGGGAGGCAGCAGUGGGGAAUCUUGCACAAUGGGCGGAAGCCUGAUGCAGCAACGCCGCGUGCGGGAUGACGGCCUUCGGGUUGUAAACCGCUUUCGCCUGUGACGAAGCGUGAGUGACGGUAAUGGGUAAAGAAGCACCGGCUAACUACGUG